Molecule: ribosomal RNA, 763 nt
Filed under: uncultured Bacillota bacterium
Lineage: Bacteria; Bacillati; Bacillota
Description: bacterial SSU rRNA
Rfam family: Bacterial small subunit ribosomal RNA
Source: RNAcentral
CAAGUCGAACGAGAAAGUGGAGCAAUCCAUGAGUACAGUGGCGUACGGGUGAGUAACACGUGGAUAACCUGCCCUUUAGUGGGGAAUACCGCUGGGAAACCGGCGACAAUACCGCAUAAGCUCGAGAGAGGAAAGCAGCAAUGCGCUGAAGGAGGGGUCCGCGGCCGAUUAGCUCGUUGGCAGGGUAAUGGCCUACCAAGGCUGUGAUCGGUAGCCGGCCUGAGAGGGCACACGGCCACACUGGCACUGAAACACGGGCCAGACUCCUACGGGAGGCAGCAGUGGGGAAUCUUGCACAAUGGGGGAAACCCUGAUGCAGCGACGCCGCGUGAGCGAUGAAGCCCUUCGGGGUGUAAAGCUCUUUCGGCAGGGAAGAUGAUGACGGUACCUGCAGAAGCAGCUGCGGCUAACUACGUGCCAGCAGCCGCGGUAAUACGUAGGCAGCAAGCGUUGUUCGGAGUUACUGGGCGUAAAGGGUGCGUAGGCGGCUCUAUAAGUAUGGUGUGAAAUCUCCCGGCUCAACUGGGAGGGUGCGCUAUAAACUGUAGGGCUAGAGUGUGGGAGAGGAAAGUGGAAUUCCUGGUGUAGCGGUGAAAUGCGUAGAUAUCAGGAGGAACACCGGUGGUGUAAACGGCUUUCUGGACCAUAACUGACGCUGAUGCACGAAAGCGUAGGUAGCAAACAGGAUUAGAUACCCUGGUAGUCCACGCCCUAAACGAUGCAUAUUUGGUGUGGGCCAUUCAUUUGGUCCGUGCCGGAGCUA